Molecule: long non-coding RNA, 815 nt
Organism: Xenia sp. Carnegie-2017
Lineage: Eukaryota; Metazoa; Cnidaria; Anthozoa; Malacalcyonacea; Xeniidae
Exons: 3
Source: RefSeq, a predicted model, not a curated record
CGUUAUGGCGAUAAGAGUUCAGCGCGUGUUAAUGCUUCAAGGUACACUCUCUUUGUAUCUGGCAAGUGUUCGGACGAAUGCCUUCCCCCGAAUGCAGAUAGCCUGCUUUUGCACAUUAAGAGAGCCAACUACCAAGCAGCCAUCUGGAAGAAUAGUUUGCAAUCGCACAUUAAUGUUCAACCUCCUGUGAGCCAUGGAUAGCACAUGAAAAAUGGUCAGUUAGAGAUUCUUUGGAUGACUGGAUCUUCUGCUCCAGAUACACUUAUUGAGUGCGUGACAUGUAAGUGUAAAGCUGGUUGCAAGAAUCGUCGAUGCUCGUGCUUGAGGUCUGGUUUGCAAUGUACUGACAUUUGCGGUUGUUCUGACUGCAGUAACUACGCCUCUGAAGAUGACGGCCCAAUAAAAGAGCCGGAUGAGUGCGAUGAUAGCGAUUACGAUGAUGCCGACGAUACACAUGAAAACUUCAUAAACGAUUUCAAUGAAAUGUUCUAUUAAGAAUGCACUGCUCAGCAGUGUGUACAUCAGGAACUAGAUGGCGACCAAAGGAUUCUGAUCUUUUUGUCCAUCAAGCAGCUAUGGAAGAUUAAUAGCUAAACAUAUCAUUUCAAAUUAACUUAGAAGGAUUGAUCCCUAAUCAUUAUUUAGCACCGUUUUUUGAAUAUGAGCCAGCAAAUUUAGUGAAUUUCACACAAAAACAAUAUGGCGGAUAUAGUAAAUAAAUGUCGAAUUUUUGAUGGCUCUAGCUCUCUUGAUUGCAAGUUUUCGGGAUGUAAACAGGCAGAUUUAUGUUAAGUGAGUACAUAUCAGUACAUCUA